AACGUAGGAGGCGAGCGUUAUCCGGAUUUACUGGGUGUAAAGCGCGUGCAGGCGGCUCGAUAAGUUGGAUGUGAAAGCUCCCGGCUCAACUGGGAGAGGUCGUACAAGACUGUCGGGCUUGAGGAUGGUAGGGGAAGGUGGAAUUCCGGGUGUAGUGGUGAAAUGCGUAGAUAUCCGGAGGAACACCAGUGGCGAAGGCGGCCUUCUGGACCAUUACUGACGCUCAGACGCGAAAGCUAGGGUAGCAAACGGG
RNAcentral lists this ribosomal RNA (253 nucleotides) under uncultured Anaerolinea sp. RNAcentral describes it as "partial 16S ribosomal RNA". It matches the Rfam family "Bacterial small subunit ribosomal RNA", at positions 524 to 776 of the family's 1533-position model. Lineage: Bacteria; Bacillati; Chloroflexota; Anaerolineae; Anaerolineales; Anaerolineaceae. The record is from RNAcentral.